RNAcentral lists this long non-coding RNA (807 nucleotides) under Ananas comosus (pineapple). Its description in RNAcentral is "long non-coding RNA (ACOM_LNC037553)". The record is from RNAcentral. Lineage: Eukaryota; Viridiplantae; Streptophyta; Magnoliopsida; Poales; Bromeliaceae.
GAGAUGAAAAAAUUCUAGUUAUGAGUUCGAUAUUAGCAUGAAGGAGAGAUAGGAAGAGGAAGAAGAAGAAGAGUGUCUAUUGCUACAGUUUUGAUUGAUAGAAAAAGGUAUAAUAUAGAGGUAGGGAUACAAAUAGAUCCGGGUUGGUGGAGCUCCCACCUCGAUCCGCCCCGACGGGGGCAGUAAAUGGGAGAAAAUAAACGGAUUCGGGGCAGGAAACGGGGUAAAUUUUAUGAUCCGAGACGGAUUCGGGGUAGGAAACGGGAGAAAUUUUGACCCGCCCUGAAUCCGCCCCAAAAAUCAUUUAUAUUUUAAAAAAAUAUUCCUAAAAAAUAAUGUAUUUACAAAAAAAGUUCAAAAUACAAAUAAGUUAGUACUCUCAUUUCUAAUGUAUUUGAAACUUUUGAAUUUUUGUUUUGAAUUGUGAUUGAUAUUUUUGAUUUUUAUAAUUGAUAUUGUUAUAUUAUAUAUAUAAUAUUAUUAAAAAUUAUUAAUUUAUAAUUUAUAAAAUAUUAAUAAUAUUAUAAUUUUAUAAAAAAUAUUAGUUGGCUGAGCGGAUUCGGAGCGUCGGCGGGAGGCGGGUUACGAGGCGGGGUGGAUUAUGGAAUGUAUUUUUUAGGGAUAAUUGCCUAUAUACCCCUCAUACGUUUGGAAAUAUUCGAUCUACCCCUACAUUUCUUUUUCUUUCUAAAAUUGUCACGCCUCGAGACCGCUACCAAUUUGGUCCGGUUCGGGUGCGUCAAACAGACGCCAAACGGACAACACCUCUCCUGUCCGCCCAAUACUAAACAACCAGAUCAUAUACAA